UCGUGCUAGAUGGGGAGCUGGCGGUGCCCUGUACCCGCAAUCCGCCACAGCGGGAUCGAAUUCCCCCUCGAGGGCUUAGAGCUUUCGUGACUGCUGGCAUUAAGCGGUGUAGAAGGUUGGGUCCUGCGCGGCGGGAGCCUGCGAACCUGGUCAGGUCCGGAAGGAAGCAGCCAUAAGCAGCCCCUCUCGGGUGCCGCAGGUCUACCUGGCCGGAGCUGGCUGAUGCUGGUAAGACGAGAGACCCAGUUCGACAGGGGGUGCACGA
Molecule: signal recognition particle RNA, 265 nt
Filed under: Anaerolineae bacterium
Lineage: Bacteria; Bacillati; Chloroflexota; Anaerolineae
Also listed under: 1 other name
Description: signal recognition particle sRNA large type
Rfam family: Bacterial large signal recognition particle RNA
About the family: The signal recognition particle (SRP) is a universally conserved ribonucleoprotein involved in the co-translational targeting of proteins to membranes. Archaeal SRP consists of a 7S RNA and homologues of the eukaryotic SRP19 and SRP54 proteins. In most bacteria, the SRP consists of a 4.5S RNA and the Ffh protein (a homologue of the eukaryotic SRP54 protein).
Source: RNAcentral